UAGGCAAUUAAAGUUGGAUAUAUUAUUUAAAUCGAUGUGAAUAAUUGAAUCAUUUUUCACGCUUUAAUAGCCAGUAGCCAAACACGUUAUUAAUAAUUUUGUUAUAGGUACGAUUUGAUUUUUCAGAUCAUGCUGGUUAACCAUGAAACCGAGCCACUUAUGAAUGAUGGUUCAAGUAAGAAUAUUUCAUACACUGGUACUUACUUACCUCUUUAACAAAUCCGGAAUUACGAAACUGGAACUUCAUUUUUGAUUUUGGAAAUAUCACAACAUCAGGUAAGUAAUUAUUGACAAAAAAUUGAAUUUUUUCACUAUAAUAAAUUCAUAACUGCACGAUAUUUUUCUUUAGGUGCGUGCAUUUCACGUUUUACCAGGCGGUUUAUUCGCACAACUCGAUGAUCGCUUUUAUCUUAUCGUCAGACGAAAUUCUCAACUCGAAGAAAA
This is a long non-coding RNA of Planococcus citri (citrus mealybug), 444 nucleotides long. RefSeq lists it as uncharacterized. NCBI's taxonomy places the organism in Eukaryota, Metazoa, Arthropoda, Insecta, Hemiptera, Pseudococcidae. The transcript is spliced from 2 exons. The record is from RefSeq and is a predicted model, not a curated record.